GUUAUACAACUUUCAACAACGGAUCUCUUGGCUCUCGCAUCGAUGAAGAACGCAGCGAAAUGCGAUAACUAAUGUGAAUUGCAGAAUUCAGUGAAUCAUCGAGUCUUUGAACGCACCUUGCGCCCUUUGGUAUUCCAAAGGGSAUGCCUGUUUGAGUGUCAUUAA
Molecule: ribosomal RNA, 165 nt
Filed under: Armillaria mellea
Lineage: Eukaryota; Fungi; Basidiomycota; Agaricomycetes; Agaricales; Physalacriaceae
Description: 5.8S ribosomal RNA
Rfam family: 5.8S ribosomal RNA
About the family: 5.8S ribosomal RNA (5.8S rRNA) is a component of the large subunit of the eukaryotic ribosome. It is transcribed by RNA polymerase I as part of the 45S precursor that also contains 18S and 28S rRNA. Functionally, it is thought that 5.8S rRNA may be involved in ribosome translocation.
Source: RNAcentral